AAGAAAGAAUGCAAGAGCUGCUAACUCAUGCUACUAAACUUAAGCGUACGGCUUUCUUA
Molecule: transfer RNA, 59 nt
Filed under: Microtus guentheri
Lineage: Eukaryota; Metazoa; Chordata; Mammalia; Rodentia; Cricetidae
Description: tRNA-Ser
Source: RNAcentral